CUAGAGAGAAAGGAUUCGAACCUCAAGCUAAGAAUCCAAAACUCCUCGUAUAUCCAACUAUACUACACCCUA
Molecule: transfer RNA, 72 nt
Filed under: Ceratophora tennentii
Lineage: Eukaryota; Metazoa; Chordata; Lepidosauria; Squamata; Agamidae
Description: tRNA-Gln
Source: RNAcentral